Molecule: RNA transcript, 498 nt
Organism: Aedes albopictus (Asian tiger mosquito)
Lineage: Eukaryota; Metazoa; Arthropoda; Insecta; Diptera; Culicidae
Exons: 3
Source: RefSeq, a predicted model, not a curated record
GUCGGCUUAGUUACAACCAGCGCUCUGUUGGUGUUCUUUUCCAAACCACUGUACGACGCAUUCAUCGCUGACGACCCCCCAGUAAGGCGGGAAUACCGUUCAUUUCGAAUCGGCCCGAAGUAAAGUGGAGGCGUAAAACCUAUCAAAAUGGAAUCCGUGAGAAAGGCCAACCAAAGACUUAAAAACUAUCCCAUAUUGCUGGCCAAGUGUUCCGUAGCCGCGGCCGCCUACGCUACGUGUGUGACAACGGACCUCAAUGUGUCGCAUAAGUCGUGUGAUCAGGAAUUCCGCCAGUUUAAACAGUGCCUGCAGAAGGCGGCCAGUGAUAUGAAAACGAAACUAUGAUCGAAGUGAGUGAAUGAAGUGAUUAGCAUUUCAAUAUACAUGUAGUGAAUGAACUAACCAAUUCGGCGAGUAAUACUACUAACAUUUUAUAAAGUUCAAUAAACAAAUGAAGCCAGCUAAAAAAAUGCUUGAGUCAAUACACCAGUCGAAAAU